GUGAGGAAUAUUGCGCAAUGGAGGCAACUCUGACGCAGCCAUGCCGCGUGCAGGAAGAAGGCGCUACGCGUUGUAAACUGCUUUUAACCGGGAAGAAACCCCAGGACGUGUCCUGGGUUGACGGUACCGGAGGAAUAAGCACCGGCUAACUUCGUGCCAGCAGCCGCGGUAAUACGAAGGGUGCAAGCGUUAUCCGGAUUCAUUGGGUUUAAAGGGUGCGUAGGCGGAGCGUUAAGUCAGUGGUGAAAUCCUGCAGCUUAACUGUAGACUUGCCAUUGAUACUGGCGCUCUUGAGUGCGCUUGAAGUGGGCGAAAUGUGCCGUGUAGCGGUGAAAUGCUUAGAUAUGGCACAGAACACCAAUUGCGAAGGCAGCUCACUAAGGCGAUACUGACGCUGAGGCACGAAAGCGUGGGGAUCGAACAGGAUUAGAUACCCUUGUAGUCC
RNAcentral lists this ribosomal RNA (445 nucleotides) under uncultured bacterium. RNAcentral's name for it is "partial 16S ribosomal RNA". It matches the Rfam family "Bacterial small subunit ribosomal RNA", at positions 354 to 796 of the family's 1533-position model. The record is from RNAcentral.